GAGUUUGAUCGUGGCUCAGGAUGAACGCUGGCGGCGUGCCUAACACAUGCAAGUCGAACGGAGUCAUUUUGGAAAGUUCUUCGGAACUGGAAUCUAUGACUUAGUGGCGGACGGGUGAGUAACGCGUGAGCAAUCUGCCUUUUAGAGGGGGAUAACAGCCGGAAACGGCUGCUAAUACCGCAUAACGCAUCGGAGUCGCAUGGUUUUGAUGCCAAAGAUUUUAUCGCUGAAAGAUGAGCUCGCGUCUGAUUAGCUAGUUGGCGGGGUAACGGCCCACCAAGGCGACGAUCAGUAGCCGGACUGAGAGGUUGAACGGCCACAUUGGGACUGAGACACGGCCCAGACUCCUACGGGAGGCAGCAGUGGGGAAUAUUGCGCAAUGGGGGCAACCCUGACGCAGCAACGCCGCGUGAUUGAAGAAGGUCUUCGGAUUGUAAAAUCUUUAAUCAGGGACGAAGAAAUGACGUACCUGAAGAAUAAGCUCCGGCUAACUACGUGCCAGCAGCCGCCGUAACACC
This 518-nucleotide ribosomal RNA is filed under the name uncultured bacterium. Its description in RNAcentral is "bacterial SSU rRNA". It matches the Rfam family "Bacterial small subunit ribosomal RNA", at positions 9 to 527 of the family's 1533-position model. The record is from RNAcentral.